Molecule: transfer-messenger RNA, 354 nt
Filed under: Bacilli
Lineage: Bacteria; Bacillati; Bacillota
Also listed under: 1 other name
Description: CAG-1000 sp012512795 Standard tmRNA
Rfam family: transfer-messenger RNA
About the family: Bacterial tmRNA, also known as 10Sa RNA or SsrA, is named for its dual tRNA and mRNA-like properties. Its role is to liberate the mRNA from a stalled ribosome.
Source: RNAcentral
GGGGCUGCAUUGAUUCGACAAAAUUAUGUUUCGGUAGAAUGCAAGUAGUAGGCAUACUUAAAAUGCAAAACAAAAAUAAUCGGAGAAAAUUACGAUUUUUCUCCAUCAUUUGCUUAAUUUAAGUAAAUAAUGGAGCUUCUCUUUAAUCUUUUCUUACGAGAUUAAAUGUAGGAGUAAUAAAGUAAGAUAUAUUAAUAAUAUGCUUGUGAUUACUAAUGAAUAAAUAAUAAGCUUUAAGUAUUAAAAUGAAGUUGGCAAUCAAUGUUAAUACUCGAGAAUACAAACCAAAUAAACUUGUAGAUUUUCUAUGGAAAUGAAUUUUGGACAGGAGUUCGAUACUCCUCAGCUCCACCA